This 465-nucleotide ribosomal RNA is filed under the name uncultured Klebsiella sp. RNAcentral's name for it is "bacterial SSU rRNA". It matches the Rfam family "Bacterial small subunit ribosomal RNA", at positions 338 to 795 of the family's 1533-position model. Lineage: Bacteria; Pseudomonadati; Pseudomonadota; Gammaproteobacteria; Enterobacterales; Enterobacteriaceae. The record is from RNAcentral.
CCUACGGGCGGCUGCAGUGGGGAAUAUUGCACAAUGGGCGCAAGCCUGAUGCAGCCAUGCCGCGUGUGUGAAGAAGGCCUUCGGGUUGUAAAGCACUUUCAGCGGGGAGGAAGGCGGUGAGGUUAAUAACCUCAUCGAUUGACGUUACCCGCAGAAGAAGCACCGGCUAACUCCGUGCCAGCAGCCGCGGUAAUACGGAGGGUGCAAGCGUUAAUCGGAAUUACUGGGCGUAAAGCGCACGCAGGCGGUCUGUCAAGUCGGAUGUGAAAUCCCCGAGCUCAACCUGGGAACUGCAUUCGAAACUGGCAGGCUAGAGUCUUGUAGAGGGGGGUAGAAUUCCAGGUGUAGCGGUGAAAUGCGUAGAGAUCUGGAGGAAUACCGGUGGCGAAGGCGGCCCCCUGGACAAAGACUGACGCUCAGGUGCGAAAGCGUGGGGAGCAAACAGGAUUAGAUACCCCUGUAGUC